RNAcentral lists this ribosomal RNA (233 nucleotides) under uncultured bacterium. Its description in RNAcentral is "partial 16S ribosomal RNA". It matches the Rfam family "Bacterial small subunit ribosomal RNA", at positions 15 to 236 of the family's 1533-position model. The record is from RNAcentral.
GAUCAUGGCUCAGGAUGAACGCUAGCUACAGGCUUAACACAUGCAAGUCGAGGGGAAACGAUAUUGGAAGCUUGCUUCCGAUAGGCGUCGACCGGCGCACGGGUGAGUAACGCAUAUCCAACCUGCCCACCACUUGGGGGAUAACCUUGCGAAAGUAAGACUAAUACCCAAUGAUAUCUCUAGAAGACAUCUGAAAGGGAUUAAAGAUUUAUCGGUGAUGGAUGGGGAUGCGU